RNAcentral lists this ribosomal RNA (4905 nucleotides) under Triticum aestivum (bread wheat). Its description in RNAcentral is "partial small subunit ribosomal RNA". Lineage: Eukaryota; Viridiplantae; Streptophyta; Magnoliopsida; Poales; Poaceae. The record is from RNAcentral.
AUGGGAUGGGAAUGGGAGACGGUGCAGCACUUGGACCUCCGGCACGCCGGCGGCCGCCGCGGGGCCGGCGCCCCCGCGCGCCCGCUGCAGCCGCACGCCGCCGCCUUCCGCGCCUCCCAGGCCAUCGUCGCCGUCGCCGUCGGCACCCACGUCGUCGAAUUUGAUGCUUUGACUGGAAGCAAGAUAGCUUUGGUUGACCUUGGAGCUCGUGUUGUUCGUAUGGCAUAUAGCCCUACCUCUAGCCAUGUUAUCAUUGCUAUCCUUGAGGAUGCUACAAUCAGAUCAUGUGAUUUCGCUACCGAGCAGACGCUUGUGCUGCACUCACCUGAGAAAAAAACAGACCACGUUUCAAUAGACACAGAAGUUCAUCUUGCGUUGACACCUCUUGAACCUAUCGUUUUCUUCGGUUUUCACAAAAGAAUGAGUGUGACAGUUGUUGGGACUGUUGAAGGUGGGAGGCCACCAACAAAAAUAAAGACUGAUCUUAAAAAACCCAUUGUCAACCUGGCUUGCCAUCCUCGCCUUCCUGUGUUUUAUGUAGCUUAUGCUGAAGGCUUGGUACGCGCCUACAACGUCCAGACAUACGCUGUUCACUACACGUUACAACUUCCGGUUGACAGUACAAUUAAGCUCAUGGGAGCUGGUGCUUUUGGGUUUCAUCCGACCUUAGAGUGGGUAUUUAUUGGUGAUAGAGGGGGCACUCUCCUGGCAUGGGAUGUAUCAACUGAGAGGCCAAACAUGAUUGGGAUUACACAGGCUGGUUCUCAGCCAAUCACAUCUGUUUCCUGGCUUCCUACACUAAAGCUGCUCGUGACAAUUUCGAAGGAUGGGGGUCUUCAAGUAUGGAAGACACGAGUUAUUAUUAAUAACAAUAGACAACCAAUGGAAACUCAUUUCUUUGAGCGUGCUGCCAUUGAAACAAUGGACAUCACAAAGAUACUCACUCUACAAGGUGGUGAAGCAGUGUACCCUUUGCCUCGAAUAAAGAAUUUGGCAGUGCAUCCAAAGUUCAAUUUGGCUGCAGUGAUUUUUCAAGAUAUGUCUGCGACAGAAGCUGCAAAGAACAAGGCUGCAUACACAAGGGAAGGAAGGAGGCAGCUUUUUGCUGUACUACAGGGGGCUAGGGGGUCAACUGCUGCUGUUUUAAAGGAGAAACUUUUAGCCCUGGGUUCAUCCGGAAUUUUAGCAGAGCACCAACUCCAGGCGCAGCUUCAAGAGCAGCACUUGAAGGGCCAGAGCAAGCUAACUAUCUCAGAUGUUGCAAGGAAGGCUUUCCUUCACAGUCAUUUCAUGGAGGGACAUGCUAAAAGUGGUCCAAUCUCUCGUUUACCCCUUGUUACUAUUUCAGAUCCUGGCAACCUUUUGCGAGAUAUUCCUGUUUGUCAGCCAUUCCAUCUGGAGUUGAACUUCUUCAACCAGGAGAACCGUGUGGUUCAGUAUCCAGUUAGAGCUUUCUACUUGGAUGGAUUUAACCUGAUGGCCCAUAACCUAUCAUCUGGAGCUGAUAAUCUCUAUAAGAAGCUUUACUCUACGAUUCCCUCAAAUAUGGAAUGCCACCCCAAGUAUAUUUCAUAUAGCCCAAAGCAGCAUAUGUUUCUAGUUGUGUUUGAAUUAAGUGGUCCAAGUGGAGUGGCGCAUGAAGUUGUUCUUUACUGGGAGCAGACUGAUUUACAGACAGUAAACAGCAAAGGAAGUUCAAUAAAAGGUCGAGAUGCUACUUUUUUGGGACCGGAUGAUAAUCAAUAUGCUAUUCUGGAGGAAGACAGAACUAGCCUGAAUCUUUAUAAUCUCAAACCAAUAGCCACGAAGGAAGCUCUUGAAAAUAAUGCUGCCGUGCUCGAAGAAGAAGAAAACACAUUUGCUGAGAAUCCUACUGCUAAUCCAACACAAAAGCAAGGUCCUAUGCAGUUUACUUUUGAAUCCGAGGUCGAUCGCAUAUUUUCAUCUCCACAAGAAUCAUCCUUGUUGUAUGUGAUCUCGGGGAAACAUAUUGGACUGGCGAAGCUCCUGACUGGUUAUAGGUUAUCUACAGACAAUGGGCUAUCUAUUACCACAAAAACUGAUGGGAAGAAGUUUAUCAAGUUAAAGCCAAACGAAACUGUUCUUCAGGUCCACUGGCAGACAACUUUGAGAGGUCCUGUUGCCGGAAUAUUGACAAACCAAAGGGUACUAAUCGCCUCUGCUGAUCUUGAUAUACUUUCAAGCAGCUCAACCAAAUAUGAUCGUGGUCUCCCAUCAUAUCGGUCAAUGUUGUGGGUUGGACCAGCUCUCAUUUUCUCAAGUGCAACUGCAAUAAGUAUGCUUGGAUGGGACAACAAAGUUCGAUCAAUCCUUUCCACUAGCUUCCCUCGUUCUGUGUUGCUUGGUGCCCUGAACGACCGUCUGCUGCUUGUGAAUCCAACAGAUAUAAAUCCAAGACAGAAAAAGGGUGUGGAAAUAAGAAGCUGUCUAGUUGGUCUUCUUGAACCUCUUCUUAUUGGUUUUGCUACCAUGCAGCAACACUUUACACAAAAAAUCGAUCUUUCAGAAGUGCUAUACCAAAUAACAUCGAGGUUUGAUAGUCUGCGUGUUACUCCGAAGUCCCUGGACAUAUUAUCUAAGGGACCCCCUGUCUGUGGAGACCUUGCUGUAUCAUUAUCUCAAGCAGGACCUCAGUUUACACAAAUCAUGCGCUGCAAUUACGCCAUCAAAGCUCUCCGGUUCUCUGCUGCUUUAUCGAUUUUGAAAGAUGAGUUUCUGCGUUCCAGAGAUUAUCCUCAGUGCCCUCCCACUUCUCAUCUGUUCCAGCGUUUCCGAGAGUUGGGCUACGCAUGCAUUAAGUAUGGUCAGUUUGACAGUGCGAAAGAAACAUUUGAGGCUAUUGCAGAUCAUGAAAGCAUGCUGGAUCUGUUUAUAUGUCACCUGAACCCUAGUGCCCUGCGACGCCUUGCACAAAAGUUGGAGGAAUCUGGUACAGAUCCUGAGCUGAGACGUUAUCUAGAAAGAAUACUGAGAGUUCGUUCAACUGGAUGGACGCAAGGUGUCUUUGCCAAUUUUGCUGCUGAAAGUAUGGUGCCUAAAGGCCCGGAAUGGGCAGGAGGGAACUGGGAGAUCAAAACACCUACCAGCAUGAAGAGUAUUCCUCAGUGGGAGCUUGCAGGAGAGGUGAUGCCUUACAUGAGAACAACUGAUGCUGCCAUCCCAUCUGUUAUUGCAGAUCAUAUCGGUGUUUACUUGGGUGUGAUGAAGGGCCGGGGUAACGUAGUGGAAGUAAGCGAAAAGAGCUUGGUUAAAGCUAUGGCGGCGGCCAGUAGUGAGAAUGGGCAACCGGCAUCUUCUGAAUUGGCACUGAAAAACAAAGCAAAUGCUGCUAGUGAUUCAGUUGGUGAUAGUCUGGCCAGGCAGCUAGGGGUUCAAAUUGCUUCUGCAGAUGAACAGGCCAAAGCAGCGGAGGAGUUUAAAAAGACUCUCUAUGGUGUUGUUGAUGCUGGAAGCAGUGAUGAGGACGAGUCAACGUCGAAGACUAAAAGGAUACAAAUCAGGAUACGUGAUAAGCCCGCUGCACCUGCUGUUGAUGUUAACAAACUGAAAGAGGCCACGAAACAGCUAGGUUUGAUGGCUCCUCCGAUCAGUAGGACAAGGUCGUCUGGAACACCACAAGAAUUCAGUCAGCCAGCAGGCCCAGCACCAUCUGCUGCUCCAGCAAUGCCGAGUGGCGCAGUCGAUUUCUUUGGAACAAAUACUUUGGUGGCGCCACCACAAGCGCUGACCGGCGGCACGGGUCCUGUAAUCGGAGGCCUGGGAGUGACAGCUGGACCUAUUCCUGAGGACUUCUUCCAGAACACCGUUCCAUCACAGCAACUUGCGAAUCGACUGCCUCCUCCAGGAGCAAUCCUGCAAAGAAUGGCCAAUCCUGAGUCUGGGAUGAACGUCGGCAGACCGGUACCUACUCAAAACAUGAUGGGCAAUGUUGGUCUUCCAGAUGGUGGGGUGCCGCCACAGGGGCCACAGCAAGGCCAGUUCCCUCAGCAACAAGGCCAGUUCCCUCAGCAGCAAGGCAUUCCUAUGAACCCAAUUGGCCUACCUGAUGGUGGUGUACCUCCACAGAGCCAGGCUCUUCCUUCACAGCCACAGGGCUUUCAACCUGCUGCUCCUACUCCUUCGCAACCAAUUGAUCUCAGUGCUCUCGAGGGUCCAGGAGCGGCAAAGCAAGCUGCUCAGCCCCCAGCGCCUAAAGCCGUGCGUCCUGGCCAGGUACCCCGUGGCGCUCCUGCUGCAGAAUGCUACAGGAUGGGUCUUGCACAUCUUGAGCAGAAUCAGCUCACGGAUGCACUAAAUUGUUUGGAUGAAGCAUUCUUGGCCCUCGCCAAGGACCAAUCACGUGAAGCCGACAUCAAAGCGCAGGCUACCAUUUGUGCACAGUACAAGAUCGCCGUUUCAUUGCUACAGGAAAUUGCUCGGCUGCAAAGAGUCCAGGGAGCUGGCACGCUGAGCGCCAAGGAGGAGAUGGGCAGGCUGUCUCGGCAUCUGGCGUCCCUGCCCAUCCAGGCCAAGCACCGGAUCAACUGCAUCCGGACCGCCAUCAAGCGCAACAUGGAGGUCCAGAACUUCGCCUAUGCCAAGCAGAUGCUGGACCUGCUCUACUCCAAGGCGCCGCCGACCAAACAGGAUGAGCUCAAGAGUCUCAUCGACAUGUGCGUCCAGCGGGGGCUGACCAACAAGUCCAUCGACCCGUUCGAGGACCCCUCGCAGUUCUGUGCCGUCACCCUCAGCCGCCUCUCCACCAUCGGCCACGACGUUUGCGACCUCUGCGGCGCCAAGUUCUCCGCCCUCUCGGCCCCAGGCUGCGUCAUCUGCGGCAUGGGCAGCAUCAAGCGGUCCGAUGCCCUCGCCGGCGCUGGCCCUGUCGCCUCGCCCUUUGGCUAA